CUCGAUGUCCUCAGCCGCCUUGUGCGCCAGCAGGAAGUGCGCCGGAGGGUGCCGGCGCAGGCCCUCGAGGACGACGGCCUUGAGGUACGGCAUCCUGUGCGUGUCCUCCUCGCCAACCUCCUCUUGCUCGCCGCCGCACGCCGCCUUGAUCUCACCGUAGAGCUUCUCCUGGAUGGCCGGGUUCUUGACGAGCUCCGCCAUGAUCCACUGCAGCGCCGUGGACGUCGUGUCGGUCCCGGCGGUGAGGAACUCGGAGCAGAGGUUCACCAUCUCUUCGUCGGUCAGCGCGCGGUUCCCCUCGUCGGCGAGCCUGAUGUCGAGCAGCGUGUCCACGUACGAGUG
RNAcentral lists this long non-coding RNA (342 nucleotides) under Setaria italica (foxtail millet). Its description in RNAcentral is "long non-coding RNA (SITA_LNC006638)". The record is from RNAcentral. Lineage: Eukaryota; Viridiplantae; Streptophyta; Magnoliopsida; Poales; Poaceae.